AAUGAUGAAUGUCAUAGAUUAGACAUCUAAUAGUUUAUUCUAUAAAUGAAAAUGUAAGCAUUCCACCUCAAGAGUAAUUUGGCAACAUUGGAACUGAAAUCAUUAGACCGUUUCUGAAACCAGUAGUGAAGUAUGUUGUUUAAUUUGAUAAUCCGCAAAAAACCUUACCACAAUUUGAAUAUUUAUAUUCUUUUUCUGAUCUAUUACAUGAAAGGAUAAAAAUAUAUCUACAAGCGUUGCACGGCUGUCUUCAGUUAAUGUCGUGAGAUUUUGGUUAGUUCCAUUAAAUUAACGUAAACCCUCACUUUAUUUUUAUAUAAAGUAGUUCCCCACUAGAUUGGAUAAGAUAACAGGGACUAAGACAAGUCAUCAUGGCCUAAAUAUUGU
Molecule: ribosomal RNA, 387 nt
Filed under: Lecanora glabrata
Lineage: Eukaryota; Fungi; Ascomycota; Lecanoromycetes; Lecanorales; Lecanoraceae
Description: SSU rRNA
Rfam family: Bacterial small subunit ribosomal RNA
Source: RNAcentral